Molecule: ribosomal RNA, 1581 nt
Filed under: Glyptocidaris crenularis
Lineage: Eukaryota; Metazoa; Echinodermata; Echinoidea; Phymosomatoida; Phymosomatidae
Description: 16S ribosomal RNA
Rfam family: Bacterial large subunit ribosomal RNA
Source: RNAcentral
UUAUACGACUAAAAGUAGAUUUAUUCGAACUUUCCUUUGACCAACAGAAACAGUACCGUAAGGGAAAAUUGAAAUAAACUUAAAAUUAAUACUCAAAACAAGAGAGAUUACCCCCUUUACCUUGUGUAUAAUGGAUUAACAAGACUUUAAGAAAAACUAUUCUUAUCCCGAAAUUAGGCGAGCUAACCCUAUCUUCUCUACAGGAGAAAUUAUUUACUGUUACAAUAGUAAAGAAAAAGGUACGGUUAGAUGUGACAUGCUUAUCGCGCUUAAAUAUAGCUGGUUCCUCAAGAAAUUAGUCUGAGCUAAGCCAUUUUUUAAAAACCCCUGUCUUUUUUAUUAAUUUUAAAAAUAGAAUCCAAGAAUUUUAAUAGAAAUGGUUAGGGCCCCAAGGAUAAGCUUAGGGCCCUAAACGGAAAAACCCGACUUUUUUAGUUAAGGACAAUAAUGAUAAAAAAUAGCUACCCACAAAACAAGUAGGCCUAGAAGCAGCCACCUAAAGAGAAAGCGUUAAAGCUCAAUUUUUUACCAAAGCUAAAAAAUUCAUGAUAAUUUUACUCCGAAACUAACCCCUUCAUUGAGGCCUUUUGUACUCAAAAGAGACUCUGUUAAUAUAAGUAAGACAAACUUCACUUGAUUUUUAAACGGCCCUAACCUUGAAAGAAAAAUACUAACCCCCAGAAACUUUAUUUUUCCUCCCGUCUUCCAACUCAGGAGAAGAAAAAAACAAACAAAAGAAAAGAAGGAACUCGGCAAAUAAUAGUUUCGCCUGUUUACCAAAAACAUCGCUCUCCGUCCUACUUAUAUGGAGAGUCCUGCCUGCCCAGUGACCAAGGUUAAACGGCCGCGGUAUCUUGACCGUGCGAAGGUAGCAUAAUCAUUUGUCUCCUAAAUAGAGACUGGUAUGAAUGGCAAGACGGAACUCAACUGUCUCCUUUUCUUUACUCAGAACUUCACAUUCCCGUGAAGAGGCGGGAAUGAAUUCGUUAGACGAGAAGACCCUGUCGAGCUUAAGCUAACCCAUAACUUUUAUUUUAUUAUUAGACCCUUGCUAACACAUAACGCUACAAGAGCCUUAAUCAUAAAAGCCUAUGGUAAACUUUGGUUGGGGCAACCGCGGAGAAAAACGAACCUCCGUUAUUUUUAUAAAAACUAUAUUAAGGGACACAACCCUAAAAUUAUUUAUUAUAAGAGCAUGAUCCACUAAGGUGAUCAAAGGAACAAGUUACCGCAGGGAUAACAGCGUUAUCUUUUCUGAGAGUUCACAUUGACGAAAAGGUUUGCGACCUCGAUGUUGGAUCGGGACAUCCUAAGGGUGCAGAAGCUUUUAAGGGUUGGUCUGUUCGACCAUUAAAGUCCUACGUGAUCUGAGUUCAGACCGGCGAAAGCCAGGUCAGUUUCUAUCUACGAACCUUAUUUUCUUUCUUAGUACGAAAGGACCAGAAAGAAAGUGUCCAUGCUGAAGAUGUAAACACUUAAAUUAAAAACAUGCAACUAAGACGAUGACUAUUUUCUACUAACCACAAGGACAUUGGGACCCUUUAUUUAAUUUUCGGCGCCUGAGCGGGCAUGGUCGGGACG